UCAGGGGGUUAGAACUUAACUCCUGAUCAUGCCCUUCGUGACCCGGUGUGAUAAUAGGGCCACCCCCCACCCCACUCGUGGGGAGGAAGUUAGACGUCCAAGUCCAAGAAGUUUGUGAGUAAUAGAGUUGCUUUUUUGUGUAUUUCCUAUGAUAACCAUCUCAACUCUUCUGCAACCUUCUGGGCCUGAAGCUACAUGGCCUCCCUUUCCUACAAGUGUCUUUUUUUCUCUGGUGCCAAGUGACUUCCUAUCCUGAUUCAAGUGAAUAUUGGCAUUCGUGUAACUUUAUUAUCUUUUAUUACCUGUUGCCCAUCCGGAUCGUCUUUCUCCUCUCUCCGGGGAGCUGUGUGUUGGCUUCAUACUAUCAAAGCUCUGAAAGAUAUUGAGCACACAGUUCAAGGGAGAGAGGCUUGCUCUUCAUCAUUGCUAGUUAGUAACUUAGUUAUUUACUUUGUCUACUCUUCCAAGUGCUUAUACCCCAGUCCUACUAUCUUAUUGUACCCACCAGAUAGCUUGUAACUCUUCCCUCUUUGACUUUUCUCAGCCUCCCCUCCCCAAUAUUGUGACCCAGCCCCACAAGUUUGGGAAGAAAACCGAUAAGUGCUGGAAACAGGACAGGUGAUUGGGA
Perognathus longimembris pacificus (Pacific pocket mouse) is the source of this 628-nucleotide long non-coding RNA. RefSeq lists it as uncharacterized. The record is from RefSeq and is a predicted model, not a curated record. NCBI's taxonomy places the organism in Eukaryota, Metazoa, Chordata, Mammalia, Rodentia, Heteromyidae. The transcript is spliced from 3 exons.